GCCGUGGACGAGCUGCUGGUGGCCGCGGGGGUGCCCCUGGAGCUCCGGGAGGGUGACCUGGGCUCGGUGACGGUGACGGUGCCCUGGGCCGCGCUGGGCUCCGAACCCCUGCGGCUGCGGCUGCGGCGGCUGCGCCUCGUGCUGCAGCCCCGUGAGUGCCCGGGACCCCCGGGACCCCUGACACCCCCGGGACACCCACGGGACACCCCCGGGACACCCCCGGGACACCCCCGGGACACCCGGGACACACCUGAGGACACCCCCGGGACACCCCCUGACCCACCCAGUGUCACCCUGACCCCUGGGACCCCCUGACAGCCCCCGACCCACCCGGUAUCACCUUGACCCCCUCAGUGACCCCCUCCUGUGACACCCCCUUUCCCCCCCAUGACCCCUCCUGACCCACCCCAUGUCACUCUGACCCCCCCUGACACCCCCGGGACACCCCCUGACCCACCCGGUGUCACCCUGACCCCCUCAGUGACCCCCUGUGACCCCCCUGUGACCCCCCUGUCCUCCCCCAGGCCCGCCGGGGUCACCGGGGUCACCGGGGUCACCCCCCCCGGGGGGGGGGUCGGAGCAGGGCCGGGACCCCCCCCAGGAGGAGCCGCUGGAGGGGCUGGAGGCGCUGGCAGCGGGCAUCGAGGCAGUGCUGCGGCGGCUGCAGGUGCACCUGGAGGACACGGAGCUGCGCCUGGAGCUGCCCCCGCAGCCCGGGGGGGGGCCUGGGGGGGGCCCUGGAGCUGCACCUGCCCAGGUGAGGGGCUCAGGUGUGUCCAGGUGUGUCCCAGGUGUGUCCCGGGUGUGUCCCCAGGUGUGUCCCAGGUGUGUCCCAGGUGUGUCCCGGGUGUGUCCUGGGCGUGUCCUGGGUGUACCCAGGUGUGUCCCCGGGUGUGUCCCCGGGUGUGUGCCCAGGUGUGUGCCCAGGUGUGUCCCCAGGUGUGUCCAGGUGUGUCCUGGGUGGGUCCUGGGUGGGUCCUGGGUGUCCCCAGGUGUGUCCCCAGGUGUGUCCCCAGGUGUGUCCCAGGUGUGUCCCCAGGUGUGUCCCAGGUGUGUCCCAGGUGUGUCCCCAGGUGUGUCCCAGGUGUGUCCCCAGGUGUGUCCCAGGUGUGUCCCCAGGUGUCCCAGGUGUCCCCAGGUGUGUCCCAGCUGUCCCCAGGUGUCCCAGGUGUGUCCCAGGUGUGUCCCAGGUGUGUCCCAGGUGUGUUGCAGGUGUCCCAGGUGUGUCCCCAGGUGUCUGGGGUGUCUCAGGUGUGUCCCAGGUGUCCCCAGGUGUGUCCCAGGUGUGUCUCAGGUGUGGCUGUCCCCAGGGUGGAGUACGAGGACGUGGGGGAGGGUCCCGGCCCCUCCCCCGUGCUGCAGAAGCGGCUGCGGCUGCACGACCUGCGGCUGCUGUGGGUGGAGCCGGCCCCACCUGGCCAGCAGGUACGUGUCACCUGUGGCACCUGUGUGUGUCACCUGUGUGUGUCACCUGUCACACCUGUGUGUCCCUGUGUCAUCUGUCUCACCUGUGUCACACCCAUGUCCCACCUGUCUCACUUGUCCCACCUGUCUCACCUGUCCCACCUGUCUCACCUGUGUCUCACCUGUCUUACCUGUCUCUCACCCGUCUGUCACCCGUGUCUUGCCUGUGUCCCACCUGUCCCACCUAUACCUCACCUGUCUCACCCAUAUCUCACCUGUAUCUCACCCGUGUCCCACCCGUGUCCCACCCGUGUCCCACCUGUCAUACCUGUCCCACCUGUCCCACCUGUGUCUCACCUGUAUCUCAUCUGUAUCUCACCUGUAUCUCACCUGUGUCUCACCUGUAUCUCACCUGUAUCUCACCUGUCUCUCACCUGUCCCACCUGUACCUGUAUCUCACGUGUCUCUCUCACCUGUAUCUUACCUGUCUCUCACCUGUAUCUCACCUGUAUCUCACCUGUAUCUCACCUGUCUCACGUGUAUCUCACCUGUCUCACCUGUCUCACCCGUGUCCCACCUGUCCUACCUGUCUCACACCUGUCCCACCUGUGUCCCACCUGUAUCUCACCUGUCUCUCUCUCACCUGUCCCACCUGUACCUGUAUCUCACCUGUCCCACCUGUCUCUCUGUCACCUGUGUCUCACCUGUCCCACCUGUACUUGUAUCUCACCUGUACCUGUAUAUCACCUGUACCUGUAUCUCACCUGUAUCUCACCUGUCCCACCCGUGUCUCUCUGCCCGCAGCGCUGCAGUUCCCCCGCCGCCCAUCUGGGGGCGCUGCUCCCGGGCCCUGCGGAGCUGCGGCUGCGCCUGAGGCGGAGCGAGAGAGCGGCGGGGCCGGCGGUGGGACUGGGGAAACUGGGGGGGACUGGGGGGACUGGGGGGGACUGGGGGGGACUGGGAGGGACUGGGAUUGAACUGGGAUUGAACUGGGAGGGACUGGGAGGGAAACUGGGGGGGACUGGGGGGAACUGGGGGGGACUGGGGGGGACUGGGAGGGACUGGGGGGGACUGGGAGGGACUGGGAGGGGGAUGGGGGUUUGGUUUUGGGCAUUUCUGGGCAAUUUGGGGUCUCAUUUUGGCAUUUUUGGGGUCUCGUUUUUGGGGAUUUUAGGGUGUUUUUGGGGUCUCGUUUUGGGAUUUUUGGGGUCUCGUUUUGGGGGUUUUCGUGUCUGGUUUUGGGGUUUUUGGGGUGUUUUUGGGGCCUCACUUUUAGGGUGGUUUUGGGGUCUGGUUUCGGGGUUUUUGGGGUGUGUUUGGGGUCUGGUUUCGGGGUUUUUGGGGUGUGUUUGGGUCUGGUUUCGGGGUUUUUGGGGUGUGUUUGGGGUCUCAUUUUGGGGUUUUUGGGGUCUCGUUUUGGGGUCUCACUUUUGGGGUUCUUGGGGUGUGUUUGGGGUCUCGUUUUGGGGUUUUUGGGGUGUUUUUGCGGUCUCACUUUUGGGGUGUUUUUGGGGUCUCGUUUUGGGGUUUUUGGGGUGUUUUUGGGGGACUCACUUUUGCGGUGUUUUUGAGAUGUUUUUGGGGUCUGGUUUCGGGGUUUUUGGGGUGUGUUUGGGGUGUUUUUGGGGGUCUCACUUUUGGGGUUUUUGGGGUGAUUUUGGGGUCUGAUUUCGGGGUUUUUGGGGUGAUUUUGGGGUCUGGUUUAGGGGUUUUUGGGGUGAUUUUGGGGUCUGACUGCCCCUCCGCAGGUGGAGCUGGAGGCCACCGUGGGGUCCCUGCACCUGCUGCUGCCCCCCCCCCUGUUGGGGGUCCUGCGGGGGGCCCUGGACCCCCCCGGUGAGAGCCCCUCCCCCCCCCGGCACCCCAAACCCGGCGGGACCCCAAACCUGGGGGGGGGGGGGAGGGGCUGGGGGGGGUUGGGGGUCUCCUGGACCCCCGAAUCCUCUGGGGGGCAGUGGGGUAUUUUGGGGGGGGUUUGGGGGGCUUUGAGUUAUUUUGGGGUGUUUCUGAGGCGCUCCGUGCCGGUUUUGGGAUGUUUUCGGGCUGUUUUGGGGCGCUGUGUGUGAUUUUGGCAGAUUUUGGGGUGCUCUGUGUUAUUUUUAAGAUAUUUUGGGAUAUUUUGGGGCAGUGUGUGUUAUUUUGGGGUGCUCUGUGUUAUUUUUGGGAUAUUUUGGGGUGCUGUAUGUUAUUUUUAAGAUAUUUUGGGAUAUUUUGGGGCAGUGUGUGUUUUUCGGGGUAUUUUGGGGUGCUCUGUGUUAUUUUUGGGUAUUUUGGGGUGCUCUGUGAUAUUUUUGGGUAUUUUGGGAUGCUCUGUGAUAUUUUUGGGAUGUUUUGGGCUGUUUUGGGACGCUCUCUGAUAUUUUUGGGUAUUUUGGGAUGCUCUGUGAUAUUUUUGGGUAUUUUGGGAUGCUCUGUGAUAUUUUUGGGUAUUUUGGGGUGCUGUGUGAUAUUUUUGGGUAUUUUGGGACGCUCUGUGAUAAUUUUGGGGUGUUUGGGGCUGAUUUCGGGCUCUGCCCCCCAGGUCCCCCCCCCGGGGGUCGCAGCCGCCCCCUGGGCCCGCAGGACCUGGCGCUGAUCGAGCGGGAGCUGAGCCGGGGCCUGCGGGGGGGGCACGACCCCCCGACCCCCCCCGGGGGCGACCCCGACGGCGGUGAGGGGGGGGGGGCUGGGGGGCUCCGGGGUGGGUUUUGGGGG
This 4098-nucleotide long non-coding RNA is filed under the name Taeniopygia guttata (zebra finch). RNAcentral describes it as "lncRNA (ENSTGUG00000020601.1)". The record is from RNAcentral. Lineage: Eukaryota; Metazoa; Chordata; Aves; Passeriformes; Estrildidae.